UGGGGAAUAUUGGACAAUGGGCGCAAGCCUGAUCCAGCCAUGCCGCGUGAGUGAUGAAGGCCUUAGGGUUGUAAAGCUCUUUUAGCGGGGAAGAUAAUGACGGUACCCGCAGAAAAAGCCCCGGCUAACUUCGUGCCAGCAGCCGCGGUAAUACGAAGGGGGCUAGCGUUGCUUGGAAUUACUGGGCGUAAAGCGCACGUAGGCGGACUCUUAAGUCGGUGGUGAAAUCCUGGAGCUCAACUCCAGAGCUGCCUUCGAUACUGGGAGUCUUGAGUUCGGGAGAGGUGAGUGGAACUGCGAGUGUAGAGGUGAAAUUCGUAGAUAUUCGCAAGAACACCAGUGGCGAAGGCGGCUCACUGGCCCGAUACUGACGCUGAGGUGCGAAAGCGUGGGGAGCAAACA
RNAcentral lists this ribosomal RNA (402 nucleotides) under uncultured bacterium. RNAcentral describes it as "bacterial SSU rRNA". It matches the Rfam family "Bacterial small subunit ribosomal RNA", at positions 355 to 774 of the family's 1533-position model. The record is from RNAcentral.